This is a long non-coding RNA of Vicia villosa (hairy vetch), 13955 nucleotides long. RefSeq lists it as uncharacterized. The transcript has 4 exons. Lineage: Eukaryota; Viridiplantae; Streptophyta; Magnoliopsida; Fabales; Fabaceae. The record is from RefSeq and is a predicted model, not a curated record.
CAAAAUUUGCCCUCAUAUAUUUACGAACGCCAUUUUAUUUCGAAUAAAUGAACUGGCACAGUUGGUAAGAAUUUGAGCAUGAAAAGCACAAUAGUGAGAGAUCUCUGGUUCGAAUAUCACUUCUAACAUUUUUCUCUUUUACUUAAUUCUAACUUUAUUUCACUAUUCUUCAAAAAAAAUCACAAAAAAAAAAUGUUUUUUUAUAUUUAAGUAUUAUUUUCGCAUUUAUUAUUUAUUAAAAAUACCUUUUUCAUAUUUCAUUCAAAAAUUAUAAAAUAAAAAGAUUUUGUUCACUUUUUUAUUUAAGGGUAAUAAUAUGUUUCAUAGAAAGAAUCAUGUAAUUGAUUUAAAAAUAAUCACAAGAUCAAAAUCGAAUAAAAUUGAUUUUUAGACCUUUAAUUAUCUUUGAUUGAUUGAAUUGGUUAUUUCCCUUUUUAUUGACCUAGUUUGACUGAUAUAAAUAGGUGCAUUCUUAAUCAUAGAAGAGGACAUUUUUUUCCGACCCUAUUCUCUGCUAACCCUAUUCUGAAUUUGUACACAUUCACGCACAAACCCUCUCUCUCAUUAACCUAUACAAUUUCAAUCCUCCCACUUUCUCCUUUACAGUAAUAGCUAACAAUUACAUUCUCUAACCUUCACUUACAUAUUCACAGGUCUUUCACAAGUUAUCACCACAACAUCUCCCCAUGUUUUUCAUGAACCAUCAUAAAACUUCUUCCAUAUACAUGUAGCCGAAAAUCAUCAUAAACUCAUCACAAACAACUUCAAACCCACUACUUACCUUCGGUCAUUAUACUUCUUACUAAUCCAAUCUUACACCAAAAACAAAACCUUCAAAUUCUCACGUCAACAAACACCAUCAAAAAGUCAUAAAUUCAACCACAUCACACUCAGAAACCAUCACUAAUACAAACAAUACAAAUUGCACCAAGUUUCUUAUUUUCUUUAUUGCAGAUCGAACCAAAAGAAAGAAAGCGGGAAUCGAUCGUAUUCAUCGGAGAUCCCCACCGUCGGCGUUUCAGCCGUCCGUCGCGGACUCCACCGUCAACCACUGACUUACGAAAGUUUCAACCGCUCCAGCCUGCACAUCGCACAACACAAAGCAUCCUGUUCAAAGCUCAGUUUCGCACAGAUCAUCAUCGUUCAUUCAAAUCCAGCCAACACACUGCGAUCUCACGAAUCCACCGACGCCAAAACCGAAAAACAGAUCCGAAGCGACCUCCACGCAAAUACGUCGCUGCUGCAUCUACGUCGGCAAGGCCUUCCUCCGCCGUCAACGCCCGCGGAUCGAAUCUCUCCGAUGAGAAUCACCGCUCCGACACCGCUUUUGUUAAUUCCGAUCCGCUGUCACUGUAAGUAACCAUCUUAUUUCCAUCUUUGAUUGAUGUCUUUGUUUGUGUUUGGCAUACAUAUUUUGGAAUCUUAAAGAAGGGAGAAGAAAAUUGAUAUCGAAUUGUUGUUGUUUCAUGCUUGGCUACUGUAAGCAGAGAGAAAGAAUUGGGAACACAAAGGGGACGAAAGAGAAUAAGUUCUUGCCUUUUGAUUUUUGUUAAUUAAGUCAAAUUGCCACUUGUCAUAAUUUGUUUGGUUAGAAUUAAGUUGAAAAGGAUUAAAAAAGAACCUGACCACUAAAGUGGUCCGCCUCUGUUCCACUUUUACUGUAAUUUUCUUUAUGUUAAUAUUUCCAUCUAUUUAUAUUAGGUUAGUGUAAUUAUCUAGUUUAGUUAGGUGGGUUGGUUAUUCAAAAGAUUAAUAUAGCUAUUUAAUUUUGUAAGUAUCAAAUAAUCUAGAAAUCAAAAAUACAAAAAUAUUUAAUUAGAUUAUUUAGUUUUAAUUUCAUAAGAUAUAAAAAUACAAAAAUAUUUGUUUUAAUUUUAGGAUUUAAGAUGAUUUUUAGAUUUUUUUUGUUAAUUUUGAUUCAUAUUUUACUCAUAUUUUGUCAUUCUCUACCCUAUUUUUUUCGAGGUACAUUCGAGCUGUUCAUUUGUUCUCGUGGAUAUCUGCAAAUUCAUCCUCAAUCUCCCACACUGGAUCCUACGGUUGAUCAAGAUACUCCGACUACAAACCAUAUCAGAUCAAAUCAAAAGCUAAGUCCUAUUUCAUAUUUAUUUUAAAUAAUCAUUCUAUUUUAUUUUGUUUUUAUUAAAUUAGGGUUAAAUUUGAUUGCCCUUGAAUUAGCCAUACACUCACUGUAUUUUAUUCUUCUGUCAAUUCUCAGAUGGUCAGAGUCAAUGCUUCAGGCUACCUCCGACUAUCAACCUUCGUCAAUCGAAGCUAAGUUUCUUUUACCAUUUUUCUUUUAUUGUUAUUUUAUGGAUUAGGGUUAACUAUGAUUGCUUCUGAACCGAUAAUGCACUCACCCCUUUUGUUUAUUCUUUCUUUUCCAAUUUUCAGGGUUUGUCGAAUGCCAAAGCUACGUCAGUGGUAACCCUAAACCCUAGCUCUAUAUUUUAUGUCUUUUAUUAUUACUUAUGUCAAACCCUAUUAAGGGAUCCGCUGGUUACAAUUUCCCUCCCCCAUAUUAUUGUUUCUUGCCUUAUAUUAUCUGCGUGGUUAGUAAAAUAGGGAGUGGCAACCAUGAAUUGAAUUUAGAAUCGCUAAUUUACAAGAUAAUAUAAUUGAAUAUAAUCACGUGAUUGGUGCACACACGCACGCUUUUGGGUAACCUCUCUGUUGCCUUGUUGCCUUGUUGCCUUGUUGCCUUGUUGCCUUUGUGUUUUUGCAGAAUAAGCCUCGUCCCUCGAAUUCGAGGAUACCUCAGCCAUGUUGCCUAGAUAAAAAGGUCACGACCCUAAUGAUGCUGCCUUCGAUACACAAAUGACCUCGACCCUCGGAUGUUGCCUACGGAAAAAGGCUGAGGUAUCUUCUGGCUGCCUACGAAAAGGCUUAUUCUGAUCCUUACCUUAGACUACCUGCCCUUCUAUGGCAUGGGACAGUCUUAUGGCAAAGGAUGCUUCGAUGACCCUUCAACCUCCAAACGAAAGGCUUCCUGCCCUCUUAUGGCAAGGAUAGACCCUUUCAUUCUGAAAGGCAAAAAGAGACCUAUCAUCUGAGUUUAAGGUAAUUGCCCCUAAUUGCCUUGCAAUGCUCAAACCUUUUUAUUAUAUUCUUUCUCAUAAUUUUUCAAAAGGGCAACGCUUAUUCACAAGCUAAAGUCCCUAUCUCUUUCAUCUACACUUUCUAAACAAAUGAGCAAGCAAAGCAAUUAAGAGCCCAUGGAAAACCAUGGAUGCAAAGGGUGCCUUACACCUUCCCUUUGCAUAAAUUACCCCCCGAACUCAGAUUUCUUAAAAGGUUUUUUUCUGUUUCUUUUUGCCUUUCCGAAUAUAGUUUGGAUAAAAUAAAAGUCGGUGGCGACUCUUGCUUACCGCGACAUUUCGAUUGAUAAAAAGUCAGUUCACCGUAUUACAGAACUGGCGACUCUGCUGGGGAUUUCCGAUUAAGAGGGGUUACCUUAAAAGUUUAGGAUUCACCUUAAAUGUUUUCUAUUGUUUGCUUUGUUUGUUUUAUUUUUCAGGGGUGUUUUGGGAAUUAACUGAUGGACGAAUCCUAUUCCCGGAUUCAAGAACACUUAAGAUUAGGAGUGGCAUAGUCAUGGCGACCUCUUUCACAUAUGUGGGAGAUGAGUCAAUAUGAAGUUCACGCUUGAGUUAGGACUCCAUAGCAUAUGCACACCUUUCUCAAAUGAGGGGGGUCUAUGUAUGUGUCUGUGGGUGCGCCGGAGCUCAAGGACCUUUAGUUACCCUUAACCCAUCCUGGCCUUUAGGAACGUAGUGGGGGGACUACCCUUGACAAAUGUUAAGGACUAGUCGCUACCCGAUACUACAAUUCAGAUAGGUUCUUUCUCAAAGUAUCAUUGCAUGGUGCGAAUGCAUCAUGUCCGAGGGUGCUUUAGAAGGGCUGACAAUUCUGGAUAACUUGUAGAACCCGUUGCUGAAAUCUCCUUAUCCAUAGAAAUACCCUUGGGAAGGACACCUGAUCAGACUCCAUGCAAGCCUUAAGCCAAAAAUUGUGUGACUUGUGUGACUUGUUUGUGUUUGCUACUAACCUUCAUUUCCUUGCAGGUUUUGUUAAAAGGACUUUUUUUGUCCUUACUAUCUCACACUAUGCCAAAUGAACUUCAUCCGCAUAACAUCAUGACAUCAUGACAUCAUAAGCAUAACAUGAUUUAACUAACCCUUUCAAGGAUCUCAGGAAUUUAGGGCGCGCGAUUUCAGGUGCUCUUAUCAAAGACUGAAUUCCUCUCAAGGGGCAAGAGGAUUUAUUUUCCUCUGGCCACGUACCUUCCAAUUCAGAGACUCAGUACCUAUCAAGGGGCAAGAGGAUUUAUUUUCCUCUAGCCAUGUACCUUCGAAUUUUCAUAGGUAUCCCGAAUCAGAGGCGAUGAACCACUCGAUAUGGUGAGCUCGAUUCUCAAAAAAGGAUGUUCAAAGAUAAAAUUCAGAAUUCUUCAGACAAAGACGCAGCCAAUCAUUUUCUAACGUCGCAAACUAAAUUUCCUAUAGAUCCUUGAAAACAUUGCAUUUGCAUUCAUAACAUCGCAUAACAGGUUUCUCACAAUAGGUAUCUCAUCCUCUCUUGCUGUUUACUUCAGCCCAAAUGGAUUUCGAUCAAUCAGGCGAACACCUUCAGGCUCAGAGCAUCUGAUCUCAAACUUUGAUUCUGAACUCAGCCAAGGGGCAAGAAGAAUUAAAGGCACUCCAAUUCUUGGGGUACAACUACAAUGCGAGAUGCGCUUAUUAUUCGAACAAUCCUAGUUAUGGUGUAAAUGAUGGUAGACCGUUGAAGCGUGCCAUUAAAGAUUUAAUCAUGACACUCAAAUCAGAAAAGACCACGACAAUGAAGUCACGACAACUAAGUCACGACAACUGAGUCACGACAACAAAGUCACGACAACAAAGUCACGACAACUGAGUCACGAUAAUGGAAUCACGACAACUGAGUCACGAUAAUAGAAUCACGACAACGAAGUCACGACAACUGAGUCACGAUAAUGGAAUCAUGACAACUGAGUCACGAUAAUGGAAUCACGACAACAAAGUCACGACAACUGAGUCACGAUAAUGGAAUCACGACAACUGAGUCACAACAAUCAAUUCACUCAUAUGAUCCAGAUGCUCAGGGCAAUCGAGCCAACGAAUUCUAACAUCUACUAUAAACCCAAUGUGAGGUGCGCGUACCAUUCCAACAGUCUUGGACAUUACACAAACAAUUGCUGGACAUUAAAGAAUAAGAUUCAAGAUCUGAUCAAUGACAGAGAAAUCAAAUCCAACCCUCCUGAAACCCCUGUGGUGAUCACCGCUCCUAUGCCUAGUCAUGACAUGAUUGAUUGACGUCUCGACGGACGAACUUUUUGAUCAUUAGAUCUACUUUCAUUUGCAAUUUCUAUUCUGUUUGUUUAAACAUUCAAAUUAUGAUAGACAUUAUCUGUUUUAAUAAUCAUCAUCAGUGCAUUGCAUAUGUUUGUCUUGAAUAAAUUAGUUCGUUAUCACUCAUUUUAAAUUAUGUCUUUAUUCUGCAUAUGUUUUUGUGAUACUCAACUCCUGCUAAAGUUGUAAGCCUUUUGAGGGAGGAUGACGAAAGCGAUACCGCAACCUCAUACAGUAUGCUUUUGAGCAGACUAUGCUGACGAUGUACAGGCAUUGUUUCAAUUCCUAAACAGUGGAGAUAUAAGGAUGUUAAUCCCUCGUCAACCCCUUUAAGCCUAAGAAGUAGAAGUUUCUUUUUUGUACUAAAACCCUUGAUCAUAACCUGGGGCAGGGUAGUUCUCAGUUAAUUUGGCUGUGCAUUCUAUUAUAAGAGAAUCAUUCAGUACAUUUUUCAACAAAGGGUUCAAUCACAAGCGUUCAUCCGCAUACAUCAAAGAAGUGUUGGAAAUGUCAGUCAAAAACCAAUGAUGGUUCAUCGAUCAUUAAGCAAGGCAGUCAAUAUCUUUCGAAAAGAGAAAAAAAUGAAUGAAAAUACAUAUACAAGGAAAAGCCUGCUAAGUCAAAAAUCAAAAAGAUGACUUAGGCAAAACACAAGGCAUCCCGCUGACUGUAAGCUCAAAAUAGACAGUUCAGGCAAAAGUUAGGGAUAUCAAAAAGAUGAAAAAAAGAGAAGUCAAUAAAUUCCUGAACCACACAAUGUUGUGACUACCAAAAGGAAGAAGUGACUGCCAUCUCAAAAGUUCUCUUUGCUUGUGAACCGUCAUCAUUAUCAAAGGUGCAAAUCCAAAAGUCUCUUGGAACCUGAAUGCAUAAGUUGAAUUAACUGAGCUUAGGACUGAAGAUCAUCACGAAGAGGGGUGGGUACAAUCAAAAUUUGAGCCUUUAUCUUUUGUUUCUUAAACCGUGAACCAAGCCACGUUACAACCCUCGAAAGUCCUAACUGAAGCAUGGUUAGUUCAAAGGCAUACUGUCACCAAAAGGGUAUCCCGACUCUUUAAAGUUUACUACAAAUGUUAAGUUGAUAUCCUGUUUUUCACAAACAUCACAUUAUUACAAAUAACAUGUUUUUACGAACAUCACGCUUUUACAUCUCUUGUUUUAAUGUUUUUUCAAAACUCAAGACAAAUGUAUGCAUCGCAUCUCAUGAAUUCAUUAUUAAACGUAUUCUGCUACAUAAUUUCAAAUGUUAGCAUCAGAAAGAACUUGCACAGGGUACAACUAAUGACUGAAAGCUAUCCCGACAGACAAGAUUACUCCGAGAAGAAAUGUCUCCUACAUAUACAAGAGGCACGACACGCUUUGCCCAAUCAAUCUGGGGCAAUCCGGUCAAGAAUCUCUCAAAUGCCAAAAAGUUAAGAGGCGUACAUCCCAAGUGGGUUUCAAACUAUUUCCCGAUCAAUCUGGGGCAAUCAAGUCAAGACUCCGAGAAUCUUAAAAGCAAAAACAGUCAGAGGUAUCGUCCUAAGCUUAUAAUUACUAGGGGUAUGUCACCCAUAGGGCAUAUCUCAUGAAGUCCUCGCGAGGCGAAUCUUUCCAAAUUUCUGGGGGCAAAUCUACGCAAGUCCAGUUUGAUAUCUUCGAUCAAUACUCAUUGGCAUGUUCUAAUCAAUACAAAUCCAGGAAUGGCAAGUGCUAUAAUAUCGGGGGCAACUGUCAAGACACCUAUGUCUCCCCACCAAGCCAAGUUCACAAGAUCAUAUCCCCACAGAGCAAUCCUUCAAGAAGAUAUCUUCAAACAUACUCGUCCCGACCAAUACACGGCUCCCCAACAGAGUUGACAUCUUCAACACCACCGACACUUUGUUCUUCUCCAACAUGGCUUACUAAUAUCUUUCAUCCCCAGUCAGGAUCCAUCAAAUUACUAUUCAUCCCCAAGCAGAAGUCAUAAAUCCCCGGCUACAUCUCCUCAAAACAAGAUCAAAUCACAAUGAUACAGAGAUUUAUUUUCUCAGAACAACAUCAGUCAUGCAUCAUAUACAUCACACGCAUAUUCAUACAUUGCAGGCGGUUAUAAUUCAUACAUAACAUACAAAACGUUCCAUUUAUUUUGAGAACUCCAUCUCAUUCAUUACAUACAUCAUAAACAUUGCAUAAAACUUACAUUGUUACCAAGUGAAUAUUAUCUGACAGGUACAUUACAAAGAUUCGAAUCUUAUUCAAAGCCUAACGCACGGCACUCCAGACAUCUGCGGAUGCAAAUCGGAUUAGUCUAACGCACGACUUAUCCAUCAACCUAACGCACGGUUUUCCAGACAUCUGAGGAUGCAACUGAGAAUAGUCUAACGCACGACUUAUCCUUCAGCCUAACGCACGGUUUUCCAGACAUCUGAGGAUGCAACUGAGAAUAGUCUAACGCACGAUUUAUCUUCGACCUAACGCACGGUCUUCCAGACAUCUACGGAUGCAAAUUGGGUAGUCUAACGCACGACUUAUCCAUCAACCUAACGCACGGUUUUCCAGACAUCUGAGGAUGCAAUUGAAGAUAGUCUAACGCACGAUUUAUCUUCAGCCUAACGCACGGCCUUCCAGACAUCUACGGAUGCAAACUAGAAAUAGUCUAACGUAUGACACAUUCUAACUCUCGAGCUUAUCAAGUCAGAUGGCAUCUUUAAGCCCAUCUCUAAACAACUACUUCUCAAACACUUCAGUCCCAACAUCUAGGUGGCAUCUUUAAAGCCCAUCUCUGACAAAAGUCCCUAAUUCAGCUAGGGCAAAUUUCUUGGUAUUCUAGUGUUCAAUCAUCUUCCACCUUCAGAUACCGACUGGCAUACAAACCACUCUACAUCUUCAGGUUUAAGAUAAUUGAACAGGGGCAGCUGUCAUACCCCAAAAUUUGCCCUCAUAUAUUUACGAACGCCAUUUUAUUUCGAAUAAAUGAACUGGCACAGUUGGUAAGAAUUUGAGCAUGAAAAGCACAAUAGUGAGAGAUCUCUGGUUCGAAUAUCACUUCUAACAUUUUUCUCUUUUACUUAAUUCUAACUUUAUUUCACUAUUCUUCAAAAAAAAUCACAAAAAAAAAAUGUUUUUUUAUAUUUAAGUAUUAUUUUCGCAUUUAUUAUUUAUUAAAAAUACCUUUUUCAUAUUUCAUUCAAAAAUUAUAAAAUAAAAAGAUUUUGUUCACUUUUUUAUUUAAGGGUAAUAAUAUGUUUCAUAGAAAGAAUCAUGUAAUUGAUUUAAAAAUAAUCACAAGAUCAAAAUCGAAUAAAAUUGAUUUUUAGACCUUUAAUUAUCUUUGAUUGAUUGAAUUGGUUAUUUCCCUUUUUAUUGACCUAGUUUGACUGAUAUAAAUAGGUGCAUUCUUAAUCAUAGAAGAGGACAUUUUUUUCCGACCCUAUUCUCUGCUAACCCUAUUCUGAAUUUGUACACAUUCACGCACAAACCCUCUCUCUCAUUAACCUAUACAAUUUCAAUCCUCCCACUUUCUCCUUUACAGUAAUAGCUAACAAUUACAUUCUCUAACCUUCACUUACAUAUUCACAGGUCUUUCACAAGUUAUCACCACAACAUCUCCCCAUGUUUUUCAUGAACCAUCAUAAAACUUCUUCCAUAUACAUGUAGCCGAAAAUCAUCAUAAACUCAUCACAAACAACUUCAAACCCACUACUUACCUUCGGUCAUUAUACUUCUUACUAAUCCAAUCUUACACCAAAAACAAAACCUUCAAAUUCUCACGUCAACAAACACCAUCAAAAAGUCAUAAAUUCAACCACAUCACACUCAGAAACCAUCACUAAUACAAACAAUACAAAUUGCACCAAGUUUCUUAUUUUCUUUAUUGCAGAUCGAACCAAAAGAAAGAAAGCGGGAAUCGAUCGUAUUCAUCGGAGAUCCCCACCGUCGGCGUUUCAGCCGUCCGUCGCGGACUCCACCGUCAACCACUGACUUACGAAAGUUUCAACCGCUCCAGCCUGCACAUCGCACAACACAAAGCAUCCUGUUCAAAGCUCAGUUUCGCACAGAUCAUCAUCGUUCAUUCAAAUCCAGCCAACACACUGCGAUCUCACGAAUCCACCGACGCCAAAACCGAAAAACAGAUCCGAAGCGACCUCCACGCAAAUACGUCGCUGCUGCAUCUACGUCGGCAAGGCCUUCCUCCGCCGUCAACGCCCGCGGAUCGAAUCUCUCCGAUGAGAAUCACCGCUCCGACACCGCUUUUGUUAAUUCCGAUCCGCUGUCACUGUAAGUAACCAUCUUAUUUCCAUCUUUGAUUGAUGUCUUUGUUUGUGUUUGGCAUACAUAUUUUGGAAUCUUAAAGAAGGGAGAAGAAAAUUGAUAUCGAAUUGUUGUUGUUUCAUGCUUGGCUACUGUAAGCAGAGAGAAAGAAUUGGGAACACAAAGGGGACGAAAGAGAAUAAGUUCUUGCCUUUUGAUUUUUGUUAAUUAAGUCAAAUUGCCACUUGUCAUAAUUUGUUUGGUUAGAAUUAAGUUGAAAAGGAUUAAAAAAGAACCUGACCACUAAAGUGGUCCGCCUCUGUUCCACUUUUACUGUAAUUUUCUUUAUGUUAAUAUUUCCAUCUAUUUAUAUUAGGUUAGUGUAAUUAUCUAGUUUAGUUAGGUGGGUUGGUUAUUCAAAAGAUUAAUAUAGCUAUUUAAUUUUGUAAGUAUCAAAUAAUCUAGAAAUCAAAAAUACAAAAAUAUUUAAUUAGAUUAUUUAGUUUUAAUUUCAUAAGAUAUAAAAAUACAAAAAUAUUUGUUUUAAUUUUAGGAUUUAAGAUGAUUUUUAGAUUUUUUUUGUUAAUUUUGAUUCAUAUUUUACUCAUAUUUUGUCAUUCUCUACCCUAUUUUUUUCGAGGUACAUUCGAGCUGUUCAUUUGUUCUCGUGGAUAUCUGCAAAUUCAUCCUCAAUCUCCCACACUGGAUCCUACGGUUGAUCAAGAUACUCCGACUACAAACCAUAUCAGAUCAAAUCAAAAGCUAAGUCCUAUUUCAUAUUUAUUUUAAAUAAUCAUUCUAUUUUAUUUUGUUUUUAUUAAAUUAGGGUUAAAUUUGAUUGCCCUUGAAUUAGCCAUACACUCACUGUAUUUUAUUCUUCUGUCAAUUCUCAGAUGGUCAGAGUCAAUGCUUCAGGCUACCUCCGACUAUCAACCUUCGUCAAUCGAAGCUAAGUUUCUUUUACCAUUUUUCUUUUAUUGUUAUUUUAUGGAUUAGGGUUAACUAUGAUUGCUUCUGAACCGAUAAUGCACUCACCCCUUUUGUUUAUUCUUUCUUUUCCAAUUUUCAGGGUUUGUCGAAUGCCAAAGCUACGUCAGUGGUAACCCUAAACCCUAGCUCUAUAUUUUAUGUCUUUUAUUAUUACUUAUGUCAAACCCUAUUAAGGGAUCCGCUGGUUACAAUUUCCCUCCCCCAUAUUAUUGUUUCUUGCCUUAUAUUAUCUGCGUGGUUAGUAAAAUAGGGAGUGGCAACCAUGAAUUGAAUUUAGAAUCGCUAAUUUACAAGAUAAUAUAAUUGAAUAUAAUCACGUGAUUGGUGCACACACGCACGCUUUUGGGUAACCUCUCUGUUGCCUUGUUGCCUUGUUGCCUUGUUGCCUUUGUGUUUUUGCAGAAUAAGCCUCGUCCCUCGAAUUCGAGGAUACCUCAGCCAUGUUGCCUAGAUAAAAAGGUCACGACCCUAAUGAUGCUGCCUUCGAUACACAAAUGACCUCGACCCUCGGAUGUUGCCUACGGAAAAAGGCUGAGGUAUCUUCUGGCUGCCUACGAAAAGGCUUAUUCUGAUCCUUACCUUAGACUACCUGCCCUUCUAUGGCAUGGGACAGUCUUAUGGCAAAGGAUGCUUCGAUGACCCUUCAACCUCCAAACGAAAGGCUUCCUGCCCUCUUAUGGCAAGGAUAGACCCUUUCAUUCUGAAAGGCAAAAAGAGACCUAUCAUCUGAGUUUAAGGUAAUUGCCCCUAAUUGCCUUGCAAUGCUCAAACCUUUUUAUUAUAUUCUUUCUCAUAAUUUUUCAAAAGGGCAACGCUUAUUCACAAGCUAAAGUCCCUAUCUCUUUCAUCUACACUUUCUAAACAAAUGAGCAAGCAAAGCAAUUAAGAGCCCAUGGAAAACCAUGGAUGCAAAGGGUGCCUUACACCUUCCCUUUGCAUAAAUUACCCCCCGAACUCAGAUUUCUUAAAAGGUUUUUUUCUGUUUCUUUUUGCCUUUCCGAAUAUAGUUUGGAUAAAAUAAAAGUCGGUGGCGACUCUUGCUUACCGCGACAUUUCGAUUGAUAAAAAGUCAGUUCACCGUAUUACACCCUCGUUAAGAUAAAUAUCAACCGUUCCUCUUCCAAACGAUUUCGCUCCUAUAUGAAAUUCAUAGCGCGCUAAAACAAAAAUUUUCGUUCCCACUCUGAAAUAUAGAGCGCUAAAACAAAUUAUUUCAUUCCCUGUGCUGAAAUUGAAACUCAAAAUUCUUCUCCCCCAAACUCGUCAAACCUUCAUCUUAACCCUUUUUUCCCUUCUCCAUUAAUUCUUCAGAAUAUGUGAACGAUUAUUCUCCCAAACCCUAACCCUAAUCUUUUCUUCCCUUCUCCUUCUUCUCGAACCCUUCAACUUGCAUACACAUAAUUAGGAUUUAUCAAGGGUUUCACAAAACUCAACUACUUCACAGAAUUAUGUCAUUCAACGGCUUCAAGAAACAUUUCAAUCAAAGGUUUGAUGUAAGUCUCUGGCGACAAUGAUUUCCAUGGAAGGUGCAAGGGUCAUAGCACGUUGUGAGGUGGAUUUUUCAUUUUCAGGAUGUGUAAGACUUGUCGCUUCGGUAAGAGUUUCCUUCAACUUGCGUAUAAUCUCCCCUUCAAUUUCCAUCCAGUACUUUGAUUCACAAUAAAAAUUAGUUAUUUUUGCUCUAGCUUAUGAUUUAAUCAAUUUUUCUUCUUCUGUUUUAUUUGCUACGGAAAUAACCUUGCUCUGCCUUGCUGGAACUACAAUUAGCUAAGACAGUGUGCUGUCUGCUAGAACUACUUGUAGUUGAGUGAGUAUGCGAGAGUUAAAUUCUUCUCGGUAACAACAAUUUAGUGCUACAUUAUUAUUUUGAGAAAUUUGUGUCUACUGAUUUGGAGUUGUGGUGCUUAUUGAGUCUACUGACUUUUAAAUUAAUUUGUUUGUUUUGUCUUUUUUAGUACUUUAUUGUACUGUGAAAAAAAUGAUGCAUAGAAUUUGUUUGUGAAUAUGAUAACUUAUUUGAGUACUUUACUAUACUGUGAAAAUGACAAACAUUACUUAUAGUAUUUGAAAAAGAAGUUAACUUGGACGAUAUAUCAGUUAUAGGAGAUUCACCUUUCAGUCUCUAUAAACCACUCAUUUUUAUUUAUAUAUAUUAUUACUUUCAUGUUUGGGAAAGAGUAACUGAAUUUCAAAGUAAAGAAGUUCAGAGUUGUUCAUUGCGAUAGUAAAAUUUCAAAGUAAAGUUCAGAGUUGUUCAUUGCGAUAGUAAAAUUUCUUCUCAACAUCCAACUCACAAUUUAAAUUUAAGUUCAGUUAUAGGAGUUUCACCUUUCAUUUUUAUUUUCUAUAAAGUAACCGAAGUUGAGAGAUUUUCUUUUUCAGUAUUGACAAAUGUUACUGCUCAUUGUGAUUGUAAAAGAUGUGUCACACUCUUUUGUAUCUCAUGGUUGCUAAGCAGCUAUGACGGAAGUGUUUUAUAUGAAUGAAAGUCUAGCUUUAGACAACUCUUCUCUGCACUUAUUAACCAUCGAAUGCUCGAUGUUGGCACAGAUGAAACCAUUGGUUUUUUGUUGAUUUUGGCACGAAACACAUAGAGUGGAAUGGCAGUGAACACAUAAUGGUGGAGUUUAGGCUAUCCAUGUCUGGUUUAAUCAAAUUUGAGAGCGAGAACAUCUUCUUCCAUUCUGAGUGGAAGCCGUUGAAAGUGGUUUGCAAGCCUCUGAGAUUUGAAUGUGGUGUUUUAUUGGGAGCUUUAGACUGCAUUAGAUUAGAUAUUGAGUAUUCUAUACAAUUGAAUGCUUCACGGUUAAAAGUUCUUCAAGCUCGAGAAGAUUAGUUUAAUAAAAUGAAAGAGGCAGCCAAUGAACUCUUGAAUGUGAGUGGUGAUCCAGAAUUUUAUAGAAACCACUUAAAAGAACUCAUUAUUCAGUGAAUAACAGUAACGGUAUCGGUACCUUCCGAAAUCAUUUUGUCGUGGCCGUUGAAAAUACAUUUGAUGCACGUUUGGAUGUAUUGUUUUGUAACAAACUUCCAGAGGCUUGAGGAACCAGUGUUGGUGAUGUUUUCAUUGUAUCAUAUUGUGCUUUUCAUGACAAAAGGAUAAUACCCAUUUAUGAGUUUAGAGUACAUGAAUUUUGUGCACCGUGAACAUGGUCUUUCUAGUGAAAAUAACAUCAAGUGAAAACCACCAAAUCUCAAUCUACUGAGGAUGUUGGGAACGCCUUGAUUUUCAACCGGAGUUUAGUGAAAUUCAUGUACGAGUUUGACUGUCAAUUAUGGUGAAGCUCUUUUUUUGCAUUUUGUUUUGUUUCUAGACAAAUUUUCAUCUGUUAUUGAUAUUACAGCUUCUGAAAGAAAUUAAAGUCGGAUUUGGUUUCUUUUGUA